GAGUAAGCACCGGCUUACUCCGUGCCAGCAGCCGCGGUAAUACGGAGGGUGCAAGCGUUGAUCGGAAUUACUGGGCGUAAAGCGAGAGCAGUUGCUUUAAUAAGUCAGAUGUGAAAUCUCUAGGCUUAACCUAGAAACUGCAUCUGAUACUAUUAAACUAGAGUGUAAGAGAGGGUGAUGGAAUUCCCAGUGUAGGGGUAAAAUCCGUAGAUAUUGGGAGGAACACCGGAGGCGAAGGCGAUCACCUGGCUUACAACUGACACUCAUCCUCGAGAGCAUGGGUAGCAAACAGGAUUAGAUACCCUGGUAGUCUAUGCUGUAAACGAUGGACACUAGAUGUUGUGGGAUUUGAUCCCUGCAGUAUCGUAGUUAACGCGUUAAGUGUCCCGCCUGGGGAAUACGGUCGCAAGAUUAAAACUCAAAGAAAUUGACGGGGGCCCGCACAAGCGGUGGAGCAUGUGGUUCAAUUCGAGGCAACGCGAAAAACCUUACCUGGGCUUGACAUCCUGCUUUAAAUCAUAGAGAUAUGGUCUAGUCUUCGGACAAGGCAGGACAGGUGCUGCAUGGCUGUCGUCAGCUCGUGUCGUGAGAUGUUGGGUUAAGUCCUGCAACGAGCGCAACCCUUAUCAUUAGUUGCCAUCAUUAAGUUGGGUACUCUAAUGAGACUGCCAGGUGUUAAACCGGAGGAAGGUGGGGAUGACGUCAAGUCAUCACGGCCCUUAUGUCCAGGGCUACACACGUGCUACAAUGGUCGGUACAAAGAGCUGCAAACCCGCAAGGGGGAGCUAAUCUCAAAAAGCCGAUCUCAGUUCGGAUCGGAGUCUGCAAUUUGACUUCGUGAAGCUGGAAUCGCUAGUAAUCGCGAAUCAGCAUGUCGCGGUGAUACGUUCCCGGGCAUUGUACACACCGCCCGUCACACCACGAAAGUUUAUUGUACCAGAAGAGGUGAAGCUA
This 954-nucleotide ribosomal RNA is filed under the name uncultured organism. Its description in RNAcentral is "bacterial SSU rRNA". It matches the Rfam family "Bacterial small subunit ribosomal RNA", at positions 484 to 1437 of the family's 1533-position model. The record is from RNAcentral.